CCUACGGGCGGCUGCAGUGGGGAAUAUUGGACAAUGGGGGGAACCCUGAUCCAGCCAUGCCGCGUGUGUGAAGAAGGCCCUCGGGUUGUAAAGCACUUUCAGUGAGGAAGAACGCCUGGUGGUUAAUACCCAUCAGGAAAGACAUCACUCACAGAAGAAGCACCGGCUAACUCCGUGCCAGCAGCCGCGGUAAUACGGAGGGUGCGAGCGUUAAUCGGAAUUACUGGGCGUAAAGCGUGCGUAGGUGGCUUGAUAAGCCGGUUGUGAAAGCCCCGGGCUCAACCUGGGAACGGCAUCCGGAACUGUCAAGCUAGAGUGCAGGAGAGGAAGGUAGAAUUCCCGGUGUAGCGGUGAAAUGCGUAGAGAUCGGGAGGAAUACCAGUGGCGAAGGCGGCCUUCUGGACUGACACUGACACUGAGGUGCGAAAGCGUGGGUAGCAAACAGGAUUAGAUACCCGUGUAGUC
RNAcentral lists this ribosomal RNA (465 nucleotides) under Vreelandella stevensii. RNAcentral describes it as "partial 16S ribosomal RNA". It matches the Rfam family "Bacterial small subunit ribosomal RNA", at positions 338 to 795 of the family's 1533-position model. Lineage: Bacteria; Pseudomonadati; Pseudomonadota; Gammaproteobacteria; Oceanospirillales; Halomonadaceae. The record is from RNAcentral.